Long non-coding RNA from Chenopodium quinoa (quinoa), 1036 nucleotides. RefSeq lists it as uncharacterized. The record is from RefSeq and is a predicted model, not a curated record. The transcript is spliced from 4 exons. Lineage: Eukaryota; Viridiplantae; Streptophyta; Magnoliopsida; Caryophyllales; Amaranthaceae.
UAUUACAAAAAAAGAGCAUAAAGAGUAAUUAGCAUAUAUCUUUGUUAUUACAAGCCUUACAUUUCCCAACAAUGCAAAGGAUAUUCGUAUCCUCCGCCAUUAUUUCCCCAAAAAGAAAUAGUUAGUAAAAACCCACCAAAUCUUCCUAAGUUAUCUUCAAUCUCAACAAUAAAAAAAUAUGGAAAAAAUACUUUUCAUAAUUAUCUUCAUGAUAAUUUUGGCAGAAUUUGUCCCAAAAUAAGGGAAUUUUCGAAACUAAACCAGCCCCAAAUUUUGAGAGGGAAUUUUUUUUGUUUUCAUCGGUUAUUCGCUCCUAAAAUUUCCCUGAUUUGUGAAAUAUGUGGUAAAUUAUCCCUUGUCUAUCUUUCUUUACCAAAUUUUCCUCCCGUAAUUUUACCCUAAACAAUUUCAAAAAAUAAUCUUACGAACUAGCGAAACAAGACAGAAAAAUAGCUAUUGGAAUUAGCAGCCGAACUUGAUUUGUCAGAGUACACAUCACUCUCCAAGGUCAAGCUCUGAUUGCAGGCCAGUUCAUUAUCGUUUGAUGUACCCCAUUAAAAGGUAUCUCAAAAAAUUAAAAGGGUAUGUAUGUAACAAAGGUCACCUAGAGGGCCAUUAUCUUUUAGAGGAGUGCUUAACAUUUUGCUCAGAUAUAUGUAGGAUAUAGAGACAAACAAACAAGACGGAAUUUAUGAUGAUUGUGACACUUUUCAAACUGAUUCCUUACCUAUAUUUGAGACAAGGGGUAGAGCGUUUGGAAAGGAAUGUCCUCGAUUACUUACAACAAAGGAAUGGGAAGAAGUUGACUAUUAUGUGCUGAAUAAUUGUGACGGAAGUACAACCAUUUAUUGAGAGUUUAUACAAUGAAGAUGGAUAGAGAUCGAAUUAGAAGCAAUUGAAGAAAAUGAUGUCUUUUUGUCAAGCUUAUAGUUUGAAAUGAAAACUCUUUGUUAUUUCACAUUAUAAAAUUUUAAUAACUAGUCAUGUAAUUAUUUUGUAGCUAAGUUGUUUAGUAAUAACUUAAUUGCAGUAUUUA